GGCGUGCGUCACCCCCACCCCCGCGAGAGCCGACUGGGAGCCUGACCCGCCCCCCCGCCACGGGCCAGUGAGGGGCCGGCCCUCGUUACCCUCACCAUUCCCCCCCGGUCCCCGGGGAGAGGCCAGCCUGAGGCCACGCUGCGCCAGCCCUGCUGGGAGGGAAGCACAAAUUUCGAUCUGCUGAAUGUUUCAAAGCUUGAGAAAAAAAUUUCAUCCCAGAUGGGGCCAAAAAAUAAAAACCUCAAAAUGUCUGGCUGGAGAGACAUUCCAAAUAGACGUCUUUGGGAAGAGCUGAAAUGGAAGUUUUCUGCCUGCAAGGAGAAGGUGACUUUGGUGGGAACUGCAUCAUUACAGACCAUUUGCAGCUUUUGUAUAGCCCUUCUGGUCAGUAUGUUGAGCAUGUCCAGAGGACUAGUCUGGAAGUUACAAAAGCGUGGAUUACCAGAGCCUGUCAUCUUCACUUCAGAGAAGAGUAACUUUUAAUACUGUAACAAAUGGGAGAAAAUAAAUAUUUUCCUCUUUUUUGCA
Gopherus flavomarginatus (Mexican gopher tortoise) is the source of this 528-nucleotide long non-coding RNA. RefSeq lists it as uncharacterized. The transcript is spliced from 2 exons. NCBI's taxonomy places the organism in Eukaryota, Metazoa, Chordata, Testudines, Testudinidae. The record is from RefSeq and is a predicted model, not a curated record.